RNAcentral lists this ribosomal RNA (467 nucleotides) under uncultured bacterium. RNAcentral's name for it is "bacterial SSU rRNA". It matches the Rfam family "Bacterial small subunit ribosomal RNA", at positions 28 to 507 of the family's 1533-position model. The record is from RNAcentral.
GACGAACGCUGGCGGCGCGCUUAAUACAUGCAAGUCGAACGAGAAUCAUUGGUGCUUGCACUGAUGAGGAAAGUGGCGAACGGGUGAGUAACACAUGAGAAACCUGCCCCAAAGACCGGGAUAAGCUCUGGAAACGGAGUCUAAUACCGGAUACCUUCUUUUUAUCACAUGUUAAAAAGAAGAAAUGCUCCGGCGCUUUGGGAUGGUCUCGUGGUCUAUCAGCUUGUUGGUGAGGUAAAAGCUCACCAAGGCAUCGACGGAUAGCUGGUCUGAGAGGAUGUCCAGCCACAUUGGAACUGAGAUACGGUCCAAACUCCUACGGGAGGCAGCAGUAGGGAAUCUUGCACAAUGAGGGAAACCUUGAUGCAGCGACGCCGCGUGCGGGACGAAGGCCCUAGGGUUGUAAACCGCUUUCAGUAGGGACGAAAGUGACGGUACCUACAGAAGAAGCCCCGGCCAACUAUGUG